CUCAAAGUCUGUCAUCCAGUGAAAUUAUGCAACUUGUAUCUCAUACAAUGGGCAUUAAAGUGUCUGUAAAAUGGAUAUAUUUUCCAUAAAUAAAUCAUGCUUUUUCUGCCCUUGUCUGUCCUGGUUUUCUUGCCUCCUUGCUAGCCAUCACUCUAUCCCAAGGUCUGUGAAAACAAACCCGUAUAUCAAUUAUCUAUAACCCUCCCCUUACCUCUUCAUCUUUUAUUCUCUGCCUUUUUAUAGCAAACAAAUUUAGCCAUCAUUCAGACAUUUUGCCUCCCAGCAUUCAAAUAAAUCAGUGAUAAUUGGUUUCUCUUUCCUUUAAUUUGGAAUUGCAAUAGUUUAUUUGGUUUGUUUAGAGACAAAUAGAGGUGGCCCCCAUCAAGUGACAGAAAAAAGCAGGCCUUCACUGACCUUUCCUAUCACUCCCCAGGUUUGUUUGCAAGGACACAGACAUACAAGUGGGCACAUAUAAUAUGAGUUCCGACAUCAUAUAAAAGGAUAUUUAGCCAAGAAACACGGCAUGUUAGUUGUUGAAACCUUCUUUGCAUUCCCUGAAACAAAUGACAUUAUUGCAAGUAUUUUCCUUCCUAAGCAGUAAAUAAAAAGUCUUUUAUGUUGACAAUGAUAAUAUUAUAUUUUUAAAUCUAUUUGCAUUUUGGUAUUCUGUGGAUUUUAAUGCUUCCUAUAAAUCUCAUGGCUGAGACAUAUUAAGCUUCACUCAGUGAGAAACAGCCUAUUUUAUCACAGGCUUGGACAGCUACUGCAAUCUUGUGCUACAUUUUACCUGUGGGAUUUUUAAGCAGCCAUCAGUGGUAAACAAAUUCUCCAAGAGAAAUGAUUUCUUUUUCUGCUUUUGUAUGUGUGCAUUUUGGCAUGUGGAUAGGAAAGAACCCAAGAAGAUGUUCAUUUUGCCGCAUGAUCAGAAUGGAUUUCCAGGAAGGUCACUGUUCCUGCACAAGCCCUUCAGAUGUGUUUGAUAUGUCUCCAUUGUCACCAAGUCAUAACAAAGAAAGCUGACUUCAAUGCUUGACUCACAAGAUAAUGCUGAUUUCUCAAAAAGCAGUAAUGUCACCAUCUGAACAAACCUAUUAAAUCAAAAGGGUGGCUUGGAGUUGUACAUAAUAAGGUGAGUACAAAUAGAGUUUUAGGAGCUAGGAAUCCACUCUUUAGAUGCUCUAAGCCCCAACCCUAUUUUGAUAUCGAAUCCAAUGAAUAUUGGCCAUAGGAAAUUUAGUUGUUAUGGUCAUUGACUGCUCAACCACAAUGAUUACUCUUUUUGCACUGCAGAGCUAGUAGGGCCAAGGUCAUUUGUGUUGAAUCCCUGGAUGGACCAGUUAGCUUUAAACAAAAGAACAAGAAAUAUUAUAGGAUCAUUGAGUUAGAACUGGAAAGUAUUUCAGCCAGA
Molecule: long non-coding RNA, 1408 nt
Filed under: Monodelphis domestica (gray short-tailed opossum)
Lineage: Eukaryota; Metazoa; Chordata; Mammalia; Didelphimorphia; Didelphidae
Description: lncRNA (ENSMODG00000040202.1)
Source: RNAcentral